AAUAGAUACCCCGGUAGUCCUAGCCGUAAACGAUACUCGCUAGGUGUCGGCCACGGUGCGACCGUUGUCGGUGCCGUAGGGAAGCCGUGAAGCGAGCCACCUGGGAAGUACGGCCGCAAGGCUGAAACUUAAAGGAAUUGGCGGGGGAGCACCACAACAGGUGGAGCUUGCGGUUUAAUUGGAUUCAACGCCGGAAAUCUUACCGGGACCGACAGCAAUAUGAAGGCCAGGCUGAAGACUUUGCCGGAUUAGCUGAGAGGUGGUGCAUGGCCGUCGUCAGUUCGUACUGUGAAGCAUCCUGUUAAGUCAGGCAACGAGCGAGACCCACGCCCACAGUUGCCAGCGUACUCUCUGGAGUGACGGGUACACUGCGGGGACCGCCGCUGCUAAAGCGGAGGAAGGAAUGGGCAACGGUAGGUCAGUAUGCCCCGAAUAUCCCGGGCUACACGCGAGCUACAAUGGUUGGUACAAUGGGUAUCUACCCCGGAAAGGGGACGGGAAUCUCCUAAAACCAAUCUUAGUUCGGAUUGAGGGCUGCAACUCGCCCUCA
RNAcentral lists this ribosomal RNA (550 nucleotides) under uncultured bacterium. RNAcentral describes it as "bacterial SSU rRNA". It matches the Rfam family "Archaeal small subunit ribosomal RNA", at positions 728 to 1276 of the family's 1478-position model. The record is from RNAcentral.